RNAcentral lists this ribosomal RNA (834 nucleotides) under uncultured bacterium. RNAcentral describes it as "bacterial SSU rRNA". It matches the Rfam family "Bacterial small subunit ribosomal RNA", at positions 616 to 1451 of the family's 1533-position model. The record is from RNAcentral.
GGGAACUGCGUUNUGAACUGGGUGACUAGAGUGUGUCAGAGGGAGGUAGAAUUCCACGUGUAGCAGUGAAAUGCGUAGAGAUGUGGAGGAAUACCGAUGGCGAAGGCAGCCUCCUGGGAUAACACUGACGUUCAUGCCCGAAAGCGUGGGUAGCAAACAGGAUUAGAUACCCUGGUAGUCCACGCCCUAAACGAUGUCGAUUAGCUGUUGGGCAGCACGACUGCUUAGUAGCGAAGCUAACGCGUGAAAUCGACCGCCUGGGGAGUACGGUCGCAAGAUUAAAACUCAAAGGAAUUGACGGGGACCCGCACAAGCGGUGGAUGAUGUGGAUUAAUUCGAUGCAACGCGAAGAACCUUACCUGGUCUUGACAUGUACGGAACCCUCCAGAGACGGAGGGGUGCCUUCGGGAGCCGUAACACAGGUGCUGCAUGGCUGUCGUCAGCUCGUGUCGUGAGAUGUUGGGUUAAGUCCCGCAACGAGCGCAACCCUUGUCAUUAGUUGCCAUCAUUAAGUUGGGCACUCUAAUGAGACUGCCGGUGACAAGCCGGAGGAAGGUGGGGAUGACGUCAAGUCCUCAUGGCCCUUAUGACCAGGGCUUCACACGUCAUACAAUGGUCGGUACAGAGGGUAGCCAAGCCGCGAGGUGGAGCCAAUCUCACAAAACCGAUCGUAGUCCGGAUUGCACUCUGCAACUCGAGUGCAUGAAGUCGGAAUCGCUAGUAAUCGCAGGUCAGCAUACUGCGGUGAAUACGUUCCCGGGUCUUGUACACACCGCCCGUCACACCACGAAAGUCGGAAGUGCCCAAAGCCGGUGGGGUAACCUUCGGGAGCCA